This 354-nucleotide ribosomal RNA is filed under the name uncultured bacterium. RNAcentral's name for it is "bacterial SSU rRNA". It matches the Rfam family "Bacterial small subunit ribosomal RNA", at positions 8 to 350 of the family's 1533-position model. The record is from RNAcentral.
AGAGUUUGAUCCUGGCUCAGGAUGAACGCUAGCUACAGGCUUAACACAUGCAAGUCGAGGGGAAACGACAUCGAAAGCUUGCUUUUGAUGGGCGUCGACCGGCGCACGGGUGAGUAACGCGUAUCCAACCUGCCCAUCACUUGGGGAUAACCUUGCGAAAGUAAGACUAAUACCCAAUGACGUCUCUAGAAGACAUCUGAAAGAGAUUAAAGAUUUAUCGGUGAUGGAUGGGGAUGCGUCUGAUUAGCUUGGUUGGCGGGGUAACGGCCCGCCAAGGCGACGAUCCCAGUAGGGUUCUGAGAGGAAGGUCCCCACAUUGGAACUGAGACACGGUCCAAACUCCUACGGGAGGCA